UGCCAUCGCUAAGUCAGGACUUCUUCCAGCGACAAUUAUUUGUCGCGCUUUCGCACAAUGGAGGCUUGUCUGUUACAGCUUUGGCAGAUCGACACUGGUCCGCGCCGAAUCUCUUUCUGAGGCUAGGCUGAUUGGCUUUCGUUUUGAAAACUGGUCGUUAAGGAGCGGGUAGUGCUUUGUUUUUGAGUUGAGAUCUGCUUCUGCCUUUGGCGGUUUACCGUAGCAGAUCUCUUAGUAACAUCUCACACAUUC
RNAcentral lists this small nucleolar RNA (252 nucleotides) under Aspergillus cristatus. RNAcentral's name for it is "Small nucleolar RNA snR191". It matches the Rfam family "Small nucleolar RNA snR191". The record is from Rfam by way of RNAcentral. Lineage: Eukaryota; Fungi; Ascomycota; Eurotiomycetes; Eurotiales; Aspergillaceae.